ACUUCCCACCUGAUUGACAUAUAACAAUAAGCUUCCCUGUAGGCAUGGCUUGCCGAAGAGUGCCUAUGGAAUUCAACAAGACCAAAUAAUCUGCCCAAGCAAAAUCCAUCAGUAAUUGCAAAUGGAAUGUCCACUCAGCUUCAAGUUAAAUAAGUUGUAGCUAGCAAUAAAAUGUAGAAUUCAGCGGAUCCAGCUUUCAAUGAGCUUACCAUUAUGUUGGAAAAUAAGGCAAUUGGAUGAGAGUUAACAAGCUAGGAACUUAGCUGCUGAUAAGCUGGCUAGUUUCAACUAUUCAUGUAAUCAUGUGAUGAGUUAUUUAAAUAGGUAUACAACUAAUACAAGUAAGGUGAAGAACCAAUUCUCAUAAUGUGUUUUGAUUGACAAAGAAAAUCCUCUCUCUUCCUUUGUUAUUAUCUGUUCUCUCUCUCUCAAGAAUUUCCCCUCAAUUUGUCAGAAUCCAAACUGAUACUCUACACAGAAUCCUUCGCUUCUUAUCAUAAUAAUCAGUGUGCGAAAAACUCAGAAUUAUGGACAUCAAUUUUCAGAUUUUUAUAGGCAUUGACUCAGACAAAAAUCAUAGAAUACUUGAUAGAAUCCUUCAUCAGGGCGGUUCACAUUUUCAAACUAGAAGCAUUUAAAGCAUGCUAUAUUCAAAUAAAAAAAUGAGCUUUUCGGCAAGCUCUAAAAACUUACAUUAACAUAUAUGGCACACACAAAUCACAGCUUUUCGUUAUCCUUAAUAACAUAAAAUAACAAUGUACCAAAGAAGAAAACUUAACAGACGGAAUACAAGGAAGCAUAAAAGGGAGAAACUGACCCAGACGCCAAAUUUCCAAAAGCUGGAAAAACCCUAGCUUUCACCGCAUUGCUGAAGAAACCCUAGAUUUUCCCUGAUGGGGGUUUUCAGUUUUCAACGGGCAAGGGCCGACGCGAACAGGAAUUGGGAAAUGAGAAAUCGUUG
This 961-nucleotide unclassified non-coding RNA is filed under the name Hevea brasiliensis (rubber tree). The record is from RNAcentral. Lineage: Eukaryota; Viridiplantae; Streptophyta; Magnoliopsida; Malpighiales; Euphorbiaceae.